GAGCAGUGAUGAACUGUUUUCACUACUGACCUUUAUAAUCAUGAAGGUUUCUACACUUGAUCUGAGCUCA
Molecule: small nucleolar RNA, 70 nt
Organism: Erinaceus europaeus (western European hedgehog)
Lineage: Eukaryota; Metazoa; Chordata; Mammalia; Eulipotyphla; Erinaceidae
Source: Ensembl